AUUCUGCUAGUAUAAAUAAUACCUGUGGCUUCCUACCACUAGAUCUUAAUACGACAUUAAGGAAGAACA
Molecule: transfer RNA, 69 nt
Filed under: Leiolepis rubritaeniata
Lineage: Eukaryota; Metazoa; Chordata; Lepidosauria; Squamata; Agamidae
Description: tRNA-Gly
Source: RNAcentral